CCUCUUGCACAGAGGCAGUACCAUGGCCAAUGAAGUGUAUCUGAGGCGUGGUUAUUGCUGUUUGAAACUAUGUCUAUAUAUGUGCACGCGUGUGUGUGUGCGUGGGUGUGUGUGUAUGUGUAUAUAUACA
Non-coding RNA from Octopus bimaculoides (California two-spot octopus), 130 nucleotides. The record is from Rfam. NCBI's taxonomy places the organism in Eukaryota, Metazoa, Mollusca, Cephalopoda, Octopoda, Octopodidae.